This 490-nucleotide ribosomal RNA is filed under the name uncultured bacterium. RNAcentral's name for it is "partial 16S ribosomal RNA". It matches the Rfam family "Bacterial small subunit ribosomal RNA", at positions 30 to 507 of the family's 1533-position model. The record is from RNAcentral.
AUUGAACGCUGGCGGCAGGCCUAACACAUGCAAGUCGAACGGUAACAGGAAGAAGCUUGCUUCUUUGCUGUCGAGUGGCGGACGGGUGAGUAAUGUCUGGGAAACUGCUUGAUGGAGGGGGAUAAUUACUGGAAACGGUAGCUAAUACCGCAUAACGUCGCAAGACCAAAGAGGGGGAGCGUCGGGCCUCUUGCCAGCGGCUGUGCCCAGAUGGGAUUAGCUAGUAGGUGGGGUAACGGCUCACCUAGGCGACGAUCCCUAGCUGGUCUGAGAGGAUGACCAGCCACACUGGAACUGAGACACGGUCCAGACUCCUACGGGAGGCAGCAGUGGGGAAUAUUGCACAAUGGGCGCAAGCCUGACGCAGCCAUGCCGCGUGUAUGAAGAAGGCCUUCGGGUUGUAAAGUACUUUCAGCGGGGAGGAAGGGAGUAAAGUUAAUACCUUUGCUCAUUGACGUUACCCGCAGAAGAAGCACCGGCUAACUCCGUG